CCUACGGGGGGCAGCAGUGAGGAAUAUUGGUCAAUGGGCGUAAGCCUGAACCAGCCAAGUCGCGUGAGGGAUGAAGGUUCUAUGGAUCGUAAACCUCUUUUAUAAGGGAAUAAAGUGUGGGACGUGUCCUGUUUUGUAUGUACCUUAUGAAUAAGGAUCGGCUAACUCCGUGCCAGCAGCCGCGGUAAUACGGAGGAUCCGAGCGUUAUCCGGAUUUAUUGGGUUUAAAGGGUGCGUAGGCGGCCUUUUAAGUCAGCGGUGAAAGUCUGUGGCUCAACCAUAGAAUUGCCGGUGAAACUGGGAGGCUUGAGGAUGUUUGAGGAAGGCGGAAUGCGUGGUGUAGCGGUGAAAUGCUUAGAUAUCACGCAGAACCACGAUUGCGAAGGCAGCCUGCCAAGCCAUGACUGACGCUGAUGCACGAAAGCGUGGGGAUCAAACAGGAUUAGAUACCCCAGUAGUC
Molecule: ribosomal RNA, 460 nt
Filed under: uncultured bacterium
Lineage: Bacteria
Description: partial 16S ribosomal RNA
Rfam family: Bacterial small subunit ribosomal RNA
Source: RNAcentral